Rhipicephalus sanguineus (brown dog tick) is the source of this 1806-nucleotide long non-coding RNA. RefSeq lists it as uncharacterized. NCBI's taxonomy places the organism in Eukaryota, Metazoa, Arthropoda, Arachnida, Ixodida, Ixodidae. The record is from RefSeq and is a predicted model, not a curated record. The transcript has 2 exons.
CUACAGAGCCAAAAUCGCGGGCAUCCUACCGCCGGUGAAUGUAGUUCCACAAUAGAGCCCGUAUUUUCACCGUGAAAUAUAGAAGUUCCCCCUUUAUUUUCUACGUGGAGCAAUUUGAGACAGGACGCAGUUCCCACCAUUAAGAUAGUCGUAAUUACUUUAAUUUAUUCGUUGUGACUUCGCAUUUUUGAACGCGCGAGGAAGUCCCACCUUUUUACGUGCACCUCAAACGCUAAGCGGCGUCUGCGUCUACAUGAAACGCUGAUGGUGCGCCCCCGUCACUUUCCAUAGCGUUAGGAGAUGCACGCCAAAACGGACUACUUCGCGUAGUGCUACAUGUGCAGAAGCUCCGCCUCCGUAGCUUUCCAUUCAGUGCCAAGAAAAGUUGUCGCCGAGUAUAGCAGUUAAUUUCGCUCAUCAUUUUUUUGUGUGUAAUAGUUUGCAUUAAUCUAGUCUAAUCAAGAGCCAAUUGUAUCAUUGACCGUUUAUUCAAGUGCAAGCAUCAGCAGCCGAUCUGUCAAACUUUAUUUUCUUUCUUUUUCUGUGGUAAUGUGCUGUGCUUUCCUUUUGUUCAAAAAGUGACAUGAUAGUGCAAUAAUAUUGUACAUUUUUUUUCUUUCCAUCAGUUCUUGCAAAAGUGCUCACGCAGGUUGAGCAUUUAAAAAUGCAGCUUGCUGCACAAAGUGCAGUUCUGACAAGAAUGGGGCACCGCCUAAAUCAAGACACCACAGUUGAAAAUGCCAUGGAUGUAAAUGAAAUGCCCCUCUACCCUGCUACAACAGAGGAAGAAAUUGAGAACACUUGAGGCAAGCCUGGAAAACAGCGUCAUUUUUGCUGCGCUGGUGAAGGAACUGGACCAAAUAGGAGGUUGUGACGUUAGCACGACCACUAAAAGAAUAAUGAAGAGGCUUCUUCAUGACAGUGUAGCUGUACUAUACAGCUAUACUGGAAGAAAAGGCAAACGACCGGCAGCGGAGCUCAACAUUGUUCGUCUUAUAUUUGGUAAGGGGACGCAAAUUUUUUAUGUCCUGGUGUACUUAUUACUCUUUGUGAAAAAAAAAAUAAUGGUCCUGGUUGCUAUGCAUAUUGUUUCCAGCUGAUGUACGUACAACACGCAAGGUAACGGAUGCUGAGAUCAGCCACGUGAUUGGCGAUUGGUUACGCUUUGCCAAUGCAAGGCUUACUGUGUCCAAGGCAAGCAAAACUUAACGUUUAUUAUUUUCCAUCGUAAGCCCAGCUAUCACUCUCUUUGUCCUUGCCACCUUUAGGUUUAUGGCAUAACUUUUUUACAAGCCUUCCUGUGUUCUUUUGUAAGAAAGAGAAGGUGGUAAUGUUUUUACUUACGCUUUCUUUUCAUAAUUAAUCUUACUUAGAGUGUAAUUAUAUAUAUAUUAAGAGCUCAGUUAUGUUCUAUUUUUGAAUCAAAAGAAGAAAAAAUGCAGCACAUACAACAGCUUGUGGUAAUCAGUUUCAUGCGAAGCAGUCUGCGAGUAGUUGUGCUGCAUUUUUUGGCUUUAAAGGGGCUCUGCAACACUUUUUGAGCAUGGUCAGAAAACGCUGCCGAUCGGUAUAGAGGCUCCCGACAACACGCGAGCCAAAUAUUAUAGCGCAGCACCCGGCCUGAAAUUCACAAUAAAUGAUCAAAGACAGCUAAAAAUUGCUUUCUGUUCUCUCGACAAAUCACGGAAGACGCUCAAAAAUCACUCGUAAAAAGCCCAUCUAUCAGCCAUUGGCUGAUUUGAACAUGGCGCGCUCGGUCGUUACAGAGAUUGCCGCGGGAGGCCGCGACUUGUCCACGCGUGCGCG